CUGAUAGUAACUUAAUAUAGAGUAUUGGAUUCUUAAUUCAAGGGUGUCGAGUAUAUUGCGACCUGUCGGA
Molecule: transfer RNA, 70 nt
Filed under: Schistosoma mansoni
Lineage: Eukaryota; Metazoa; Platyhelminthes; Trematoda; Strigeidida; Schistosomatidae
Rfam family: tRNA
About the family: Transfer RNA (tRNA) molecules are approximately 80 nucleotides in length. Their secondary structure includes four short double-helical elements and three loops (D, anti-codon, and T loops).
Source: Rfam by way of RNAcentral